UUUUAGUAACGGCGAGUGAAGCGGUAACAGCUCAAAUUUGAAAUCUGGCUCUUGCGGAGUCCGAGUUGUAAUUUGUAGAAGAUGCUUUGGGUUGUGGGUUCGGCCUAAGUUCCUUGGAACAGGACGUCAUAGAGGGUGAGAAUCCCGUAUGUGGCCGAGGCCCGCGCCUAUGUAAAGCUCUUUCAACGAGUCGAGUUGUUUGGGAAUGCAGCUCAAAAUGGGUGGUAAAUUUCAUCUAAAGCUAAAUAUGGGCCAGAGACCGAUAGCGCACAAGUAGAGUGAUCGAAAGAUGAAAAGCACUUUGGAAAGAGAGUUAAACAGUACGUGAAAUUGUUGAAAGGGAAGCGCUUGCAACCAGACUUGGGCGCUGCCGAUCACCUUGAGUUUUCUCGAGUGCACUCGACAGCGCACAGGCCAGCAUCGGUUCGGGUGGCUGGAUAAAGGCCGUAGGAAUGUGGCUCUCUUCGGGGAGUGUUAUAGCCUACGGUGCCAUGCAGCCCAGCCGGACCGAGGACCGCGCCUUCGGGCUAGGAUGCUGGCGUAAUGGUUGUAAGCGACCCGUCUUGAAACACGGACCAAGGAGUCUAACAUCUAUGCGAGUGUUUGGGUGGUAAACCCAUACGCGGAAUGAAAGUGAACGUAGGUGAGAACCCCUUUGGGGCGCAUCAUCGACCGAUCCUGAUGUCUUCGGAUGGAUUUGAGUAAGAGCAUAGCUGUUGGGACCCGAAAGAUGGUGAACUAUGCCUGAAUAGGGUGAAGCCAGAGGAAACUCUGGUGGAGGCUCGCAGCGGUUCUGACGUGCAAAUCGAUCGUCAAAUUUGGGCAUAGGGGCGAAAGACUAAUCGAACCAUCUAGUAGCUGGUUCCUGCCGAAGUUUCCCUCAGGAUAGCAA
RNAcentral lists this ribosomal RNA (892 nucleotides) under Erysiphe quercicola. RNAcentral describes it as "eukaryotic LSU rRNA". It matches the Rfam family "Eukaryotic large subunit ribosomal RNA", at positions 78 to 984 of the family's 3401-position model. Lineage: Eukaryota; Fungi; Ascomycota; Leotiomycetes; Helotiales; Erysiphaceae. The record is from RNAcentral.